RNAcentral lists this ribosomal RNA (466 nucleotides) under uncultured bacterium. RNAcentral describes it as "bacterial SSU rRNA". It matches the Rfam family "Bacterial small subunit ribosomal RNA", at positions 1 to 513 of the family's 1533-position model. The record is from RNAcentral.
CCGAUUAGAGUUUGAUCAUGGCUCAGGAUGAACGCUGGCGGUGUGGAUAAGGCAUGCAAGUCAAGGGGCCGCAAGGCACCGGCGAACGAGGUAGUAACACGUGGGUACGUCCCCCUAAGUCAGGAAUAACUAGUCGAAAGACUGGCUAAUACUUGAUAGUCUCUUCGGAGUAAAGAUUUAUCGCUUAGGGAACGGCCUGCGGAGUAUCAGCUAGUUGGUAGGGUAAUGGCCUACCAAGGCAAUGACGCUUAGGGGAGCUGAGAGGCUGACCCCCACCGAUGGUACUGAGACGCGGACCAUACACCUACGGGUGGCCGCAGUCGAGAAUCUUCCGCAAUGGACGAAAGUCUGACGGAGCGACGCCGCGUGAUGGAUGAAGUCCCUCUGGGACGUAAACAUCUUUUAUGAGGGAGAAAGUUUAUUGAUAGUACCUCAUGAAUAAGGGGUUGCUAAACUCGUGCCAGCC